This 462-nucleotide ribosomal RNA is filed under the name uncultured bacterium. RNAcentral describes it as "partial 16S ribosomal RNA". It matches the Rfam family "Bacterial small subunit ribosomal RNA", at positions 28 to 507 of the family's 1533-position model. The record is from RNAcentral.
GACGAACGCUGGCGGCGUGCUUAACACAUGCAAGUCGAACGGAAAGGCCCUUCGGGGUACUCGAGUGGCGAACGGGUGAGUAACACGUGGGUGAUCUGCCCUGCACUUUGGGAUAAGCCUGGGAAACUGGGUCUAAUACCGAAUAGGACCACGCGCUUCAUGGUGUGUGGUGGAAAGCUUUUGCGGUGUGGGAUGGGCCCGCGGCCUAUCAGCUUGUUGGUGGGGUAAUGGCCUACCAAGGCGACGACGGGUAGCCGGCCUGAGAGGGUGACCGGCCACACUGGGACUGAGAUACAGCCCAGACUCCUACGGGAGGCAGCAGUGGGGAAUACUGCACAAUGGGCGCAAGCCUGAUGCAGCGACGCCGCGUGAGGGAUGACGGCCUUCGGGUUGUAAACCUCUUUCGAUAGGGACGAAGCGCAAGUGACGGUACCGAUAGAAGAAGCACCGGCCAACUACGUG